GUGGGGAAUCUUGCGCAAUGGGCGAAAGCCUGACGCAGCCAUGCCGCGUGAAUGAUGAAGGUCUUAGGAUUGUAAAAUUCUUUCACCGGGGACGAUAAUGACGGUACCCGGAGAAGAAGCUCCGGCUAACUUCGUGCCAGCAGCCGCGGUAAUACGAAGGGGGCUAGCGUUGCUCGGAAUUACUGGGCGUAAAGGGCGCGUAGGCGGACAGCUUAGUCAGAGGUGAAAGCCCAGGGCUCAACCUUGGAAUUGCCUUUGAUACUGGCUGUCUUGAGUGUGGGAGAGGUGAGUGGAACUCCGAGUGUAGAGGUGAAAUUCGUAGAUAUUCGGAAGAACACCAGUGGCGAAGGCGACUCACUGGCCCAAUACUGACGCUGAGGCGCGAAAGCGUGGGGAGCAAACAGGAUUAGAUACCCGGUAGUCC
Molecule: ribosomal RNA, 424 nt
Filed under: uncultured bacterium
Lineage: Bacteria
Description: partial 16S ribosomal RNA
Rfam family: Bacterial small subunit ribosomal RNA
Source: RNAcentral